This 341-nucleotide unclassified non-coding RNA is filed under the name Hevea brasiliensis (rubber tree). Lineage: Eukaryota; Viridiplantae; Streptophyta; Magnoliopsida; Malpighiales; Euphorbiaceae. The record is from RNAcentral.
CCCAUUGGGCUGUUUGGUACUUGAGCUUACUUGCCAAAACCCUUUGCAUUAAGCAAGUUGAAAUUUAGUAGCAAUGCCUCCUUGGUAGUAGCCACUACCAUGCAGUAGGAAUGAUAAAUAGGUCAAACCGGCAAUUUACAGCCGAGGGAAUUUAAUAUUUUGUUAACAGAUUAAAUUCUCCCAACUAUGGACUAUUUGACAUUGGAAUUUGAAAAAAAAGCUAACCCCUAUAAGCAAAGAGAAAAUUCCAAUGGAAGGGAAAAUAAAACUACAAAUGCACUAACCUUUAAUCAAUUGCUUCUUAUGAUUGAGAGUGCUGCUCCUCAAUUAAAGUUUGAACU